Molecule: ribosomal RNA, 566 nt
Filed under: uncultured Chloroflexota bacterium
Lineage: Bacteria; Bacillati; Chloroflexota
Description: bacterial SSU rRNA
Rfam family: Bacterial small subunit ribosomal RNA
Source: RNAcentral
CCUACGGGAGGCAGCAGUGAGGAAUAUUGCUCAAUGGGCGCAAGCCUGAAGCAGCGACGCCGCGUGGAUGAAGAAGGUUUUCGGACUGUAAAAUCCUUUUCUGUGUGACGAGAGUGGACGGUAGCACAGGAAUAAGUCUCGGCUAACUACGUGCCAGCAGCCGCGGUAAGACGUAGGAGGCAAGCGUUAUCCGGAGUUACUGGGCGUAAAGCGCGUGCAGGUGGGUUGGUAAGUUACUUAUGAAAGCUCCUGGCUAAACUAGGAGAGGUUGAGUGAUACUGCCAGUCUUGAAUAGAGGAGAGGUUGACGGAAUUCCGCGUGUAGUGGUGAAAUGCGUAGAGAUGCGGAAGAACACCAGUGGCGAAGGCGGUCAACUGGCCUCAUAUUGACACUCAGACGCGAAGGCAUGGGUAGCGAACGGGAUUAGAAACCCCGGUAGUCCAUGCAAUAAACGAUGCACACUGAAUGUUCGUUGUCCUACGGGGCAAUGAGUGUUGAAGCAAACGCGAUAAGUGUGCCGCCUGGGGAGUACGGUCGCAAGGCUAAAACUCAAAGGAAUUGACGGA